Molecule: ribosomal RNA, 306 nt
Filed under: Triticum aestivum (bread wheat)
Lineage: Eukaryota; Viridiplantae; Streptophyta; Magnoliopsida; Poales; Poaceae
Description: partial small subunit ribosomal RNA
Source: RNAcentral
AUGGUCGAGGUUGAAGAUCGCGUCCUUUCUUCUGCGGUGCUGACGCGUGUCCUCAUCCACGUCUACCUUCGCGACCCUGGCGCCAACCUUGACGAGCUGCUGAAGCCCGUGGACGCCGAGCACUCUGCCGCUGCUGCUGAAGUCGUGAAGGGCCAAGCGGAAGCCCUGCUGGCGAAGUUCCGCGCCUUUGCCACUAUGCCCAGGGCAGGUGCUGCUGAUUCCUCGGCCUCGGGAGGUGGAGCUGACGGAGGCAACACCACCAUGGAGGCAGGGCUCCUGGCGAAUGACGACGUUGCCCAAGGGUGA